RNAcentral lists this ribosomal RNA (549 nucleotides) under uncultured Glomus. RNAcentral describes it as "SSU rRNA". It matches the Rfam family "Eukaryotic small subunit ribosomal RNA", at positions 548 to 1098 of the family's 1831-position model. Lineage: Eukaryota; Fungi; Glomeromycota; Glomeromycetes; Glomerales; Glomeraceae. The record is from RNAcentral.
UUGGAGGGCAAGUCUGGUGCCAGCAGCCGCGGUAAUUCCAGCUCCAAUAGCGUAUAUUAAAGUUGUUGCAGUUAAAAAGCUCGUAGUUGAACUUCGGAAUCAAUGGAUUGGUCAUGCCGUUGGUAUGUACUGGUCAUAUUGGUUCUCACCUUCUAAGGAACCAUAAUGUCAUUCAUUUGAUGUUUUGGGGAAUUAGGACUGUUACCUUGAAAAAAUUAGAGUGUUUAAAGCAGGCUAACGCUUGAAUACAUUAGCAUGGAAUAAUGAAAUAGGACAUCGCAUUCUAUUUUGUUGGUUUCUAGGAUCGAUGUAAUGAUUAAUAGGGAUAGUUGGGGGCAUUAGUAUUCAAUUGUCAGAGGUGAAAUUCUUAGAUUUAUUGAAGACUAACUACUGCGAAAGCAUUUGCCAAGGAUGUUUUCAUUAAUCAAGAACGAAAGUUAGGGGAUCGAAGACGAUCAGAUACCGUCGUAGUCUUAACCAUAAACUAUGCCGACUAGGGAUCGGAUGAUGUUGAUUUUUUAAUGACUCAUUCGGCGCCUUACGGGAAAC